CCUGCCCUUGUGUGGGCACGGGGCGGGGCGGAGAGAGGCCGAGACGGGGCGCCGCGCUUCCCGGGCUGCUCUGGGCCAGGAUGGGCCGCCUCGACGGGAAGGUGGUGGUCCUCUCCGCCGCGGGACAGGGCAUCGGCAGGGCCUGCGCCAUCGCAUUUGCGAAAGAAGGGGCCAAGGUGAUUGCCACAGACAUCAAUGGGGAAGCCCUGAAGGAGUUGGAGCAAAUUCCAGGCAUAGAGGUUGGAGUCCUGAAUGUGACGAGCAAGGAUCAGAUCGAGGCUCUCGCUGCCAAUAUUGACAAAGUGGACGUCUUGUUCAACUGUGCAGGGUUUGUCCACCAUGGAACUAUUUUGGACUGCGAGGAGAAAGACUGGGAUUUCACCAUGAACCUCAACGUUAAGGGGAUGUACUACAUGAUCCGUGCGUUCCUACCCAAGAUGCUGGCUCAGAAGUCGGGCUCCAUCAUCAACAUGGCAUCUGUGGCAUCCAGCAUCAAAGGCGUGGCCAACCGCUGUGUGUACAGCACCUCAAAGGCGGCCAUCAUAGGACUCACAAAAUCUGUGGCUGCGGACUUUUUAACGGAAGGCAUUCGCUGCAAUGCUGUCUGUCCUGGCACGGUGGACACUCCGUCACUGCAAGAGCGCAUCAAUGCUCAGCCUGACCCAGAAAAGGCGAUGUGGACAUGCCCACCCUGACUGAGGAUUGCCGGUCAGAAAGGUACGAAGCUAUCCACUUGAGUGCUGAGCCGCAUAUACCGAAGUCGGAUUUCAGGAGGGAAGUAAGGAGCGAAUGGUUGAUGGUGUCGAAGGCUGACGAAAUGUCCAGACUUACAAGUGCAACAGUUGAGCCGGAAUCAACGAUCGUUAAAAUGUCAUCGAGCACCCUAGUGAGUGCUGUUUCUGUGGAAUAGUUUUGACGGUAAGCUGACUGGAAGUUGCAGUAGUUUGCGGAGGAGGUGACGUGUGGUUGUAGCUGGGCGAGGGCUAGUCGUUCAAGGAGUUUAGAGAGGUUUGAGAGGUUAGUGAUGGGACGAUAACUAGAUGGGUCAUCCGGAUCUAGAUUUGGUUUCUUUAACAAGGGAGAAACCAGGCCAGAUUUGAGGUUGGACGGAAAACACCCCGAAGAGAAGGAGGCAUUUGCGAUGUUCCUGAUCAUGAUGGCGAGUUCCGGAGCACAUUGCUUGAACAAGGAACCUGGGAGCACGUCGAGUGGAGAUGACUUCAAAGGAAGUGAUUCAAUUAAAGCGAAAACGUCUUUUGUAGACACAGGCUUUAGCAUAGUUAGAAGAGUGUCUGGGUUAGUGCUUACAAUUUUAGGUACCAUGAGCGGGGUACAAUGGUGCAAUGUGUCAGUAGACGUGCACGAGUUUGCGACGGCGAUUAGCUUGUUGUUGAAGUAAGUAUUAAAAGAGGUGGCAAGUUUCAGUGAGGCAAGGGGAUCGCUAAGGUGAGGGACCAUGGUGCUACCAGGAUGGAGAAGAUCUUUGAGAGUUUUCCAUAGAAUGCGCGGGUUUCCGGUUGCUUUUUUGAUGCGUUCCUCAAUGUGGGAGGAACGUGAGACAAGGAUCAGUUUGUUAGUUUUCCUGCAGGCGACUCUGUAAGCAAGUCGAUCAGCAGGUAGACCACUGCGGGAUGCGAUACGUUCAAGACGCCUCCUGGUUCGCUUAGCAAUGAUGGCAUCUCUUGAGAGCCAGUGAGUGUCGUGAGAAGACUGCCUAGCGGUUCGUGAUUUUAAUGGAGCUAGUUUGUCCAGCGCCGCCCUCAUGUCAGCUUCUAGUUGGAGAGCGCAGACGGUUGGAUCCGAUGAUGGGGAUAACAUUGAAAGCGAGUUUGCAAGGAGGUGACGAAAAGCAGAAAAUUCGAUACCCUUAAAAUUACGCAAGUUGCGGGUGAAUUUGAUGGUGAUUGGCUUCGGAAAAUGGAGGGAAGAAAGUAUAAGGCGGUGGUCGGAGUAACCAGUUUGGAAAACUCCCAGUGCAGUGAUGCGUCGGUGCUGGUUAGGUUCCAGAACCAGGUCGAGCAUGCUCUCAACGUUUGUUGACGAAGCUCUGGUGGAGCCUGAGUUUGUGAUGACCAGGUUAUGGCAGGCCAAAGUUGACUCAAGGUGACUAUCGAUGGAGGCUGGGGUAUUGCCGGGGCAAUUGAAGUCGCCUGUAAGCACGAGCCUGUGAGAUGGGUUAGGAAUCAGAUAUAGGAAUUCCGAAAGCUCAUUUACGAAGGUGUUGAUGCUGCCAUCUGGAGGGCGAUAGAUGGAAAUAAUGUUAAAGCACUCGUUGUUAGUAGUAAGGGAUACGGACUGGACCUCGAAUGUGGCCUGAGCCAUUGGUAGAUGGAGCUCUUUAAUUUUCAAGUGAGCAUUGUAAACGACCGCUAAGCCACCACCCCGCUGGUUAGUUGCGCGAGGUUUAUGUAGAACCUUGUAUCCUGGGGGCGCAACUUCCAGAGAGAUAGCUGGCGGGGAGUCUUGCCUGCACCAGGUCUCAGUGAUGAGCAAAAGGUCGAUGUGGUGGUCCGAGAUGGUAUCGUGAAUCAGGGCUGAUUUAUUGGUGAUGGAGCGUGCGUUGAGCAGACCGAGGCGGAUAUGUGAAGGUAGAUGUGAAGAUCCGUGCAGGUGAGGCGUCGAGGGAACAGAGGAGUUGGCUGGUUUGAGGUCGACCUGUGAACGGCAGCCCCUGCCACCUCUGCAACCACGGUGCCGAUGCAGUCUCCGACGUUGGCCUCGGAGAAGCCCAAGGACAGAGAGCGUCCUCAGGAGUGCGGGUUGCAGGCGAGGCAGGACUUCAUGGCGAGGCAGAAGAGCGGACGGCUCGCCAAGCCAGAGGAGGUGGCUCACCUCUGUGUCUAUUUGGCGUCUGACGAG
Molecule: RNA transcript, 2859 nt
Organism: Lethenteron reissneri (Far Eastern brook lamprey)
Lineage: Eukaryota; Metazoa; Chordata; Hyperoartia; Petromyzontiformes; Petromyzontidae
Gene: BDH2
Gene name: 3-hydroxybutyrate dehydrogenase 2
Source: RefSeq, a predicted model, not a curated record